This 3093-nucleotide long non-coding RNA is filed under the name Heterocephalus glaber (naked mole-rat). Its description in RNAcentral is "lncRNA (ENSHGLG00100051981.1)". The record is from RNAcentral. Lineage: Eukaryota; Metazoa; Chordata; Mammalia; Rodentia; Bathyergidae.
GCCAGAGUGAGGCAGGCUUUGAGGAGCUUGCCAAGGAGGGCGAAGGCCUUGCUUUGAAAACACUUCUCCAGUUUGCUGACUCGUGGGACUUGGCAAGCCCAGGGAAUAGUGCUGAAGGGAAGAAAGCCCCUGGAGGGGCCUCCCGGGCGGCUGCAGGCAACCCUGCUCUUUUCAUUGGCCCCAUGUGACGCCCACAAGGGAGCAGGCCUCGAAGGCCUUGUAAAUGAGUGUUUGCAGGGCCCCUCCCUGACUACAGCCCAUAUGUCAGGACACACACCUCCGGACUGCUAAAUGGCUGAGAAAAGGACAACCGUUUUCCGUGUUGGUACGACAUGCAGCAUUGGCCAGUCAAGGAUUGAGAUCAGUCAGAGACAUUCUCCCUUCUUCCCCAAACAUGGAGUCCUGUCAGCUGGUCUUGUUGACCACCAUACAGAACAGCCUGUACCUCAUAAGAUGCCUGUCUCAGUGUGGGGCAGAGAUUUCUCGUUAAGGAUGUUCCAGCCGUGAACUCUACUGAAAGACAAGUGUCCCCUCACUCCCUGUGGGUUCUUUACUCUUUGAGCACAGCAAAGAAAAGAAUCCUGGUUGGGUAUGUUAGAUCAGGGUCCCCAGAGAAGGACCUCUUCUUGCUGGAAUUGUGCUUUUCCAUUAAUUAGAUUGUCAGAAAUCCAAGAAUCAUUUUUUUCUACUUUAUCUUCUUUUUUUUUUUUUUUUUUUGUACCGGGGAUCGAACUCCUGUCCUUGCGCUUGCGCAGUAGGCGGCGGAACCACUGAGCUAAAUCCCCGGCCCCUUUAUCUUCUUAAUAUAUUACUGUUUUUUAUUAUUAUUUGAAUUUUUGUUACAAUUUACUUGUUAAUAUCAGUAAUAUUUCUAUGGAUUUCUUAUGGAAAUUUGUGAAAAUUAACUUUGUUUUCUUUCUUUUCCUUUUUUUGUUAUUUGUGUUUGUUUGUUUGAUAUGGGGUCUUGCGAUGUUGCCCAGGCUGGUUUCAAGCUCCUGGAUGCAAAUGACCCUCCUGCUUCAGCCUUUCAAGUACUAUAAUUACACUCAACCAUCGUGCCCAGCAGAGGUAGCAGAGGCUGCUGAUGGAACUGCCUGGAUGAUUCCCGAAAAAGCCUGGAAGACUUCAGACCAGUGGCCAAAUGCACAUGAGUUCCCUGUGGUCCUUCCUUCCUUGAUCUUCUACCACAACAACAAUGUGUUUCCAUUUAAACUGAUGUAGAUAUGCACUUGUAACAAUGGUGAAUGGUCUCAUUUCUGAAUAUUAGCCUAAAAUGCAGACGAGGAGUGCUCCCAUGUCCUUAGCAUUAGGUAGAUCUUUGGUCAAACUACAGCAUUCUCUUUUACUACUUUCUCCCUUGGGCUCAAGAUGUGUUGUCUGAAAAGUGAGAGAUAGCAGUACAGUAAUACCUCAGCUUAGGAAUGCUCCUGUUCAUGAACAAUUUGGUUUGCAAACAGAAGCAUUUGGAACAACUUUGCUUCCAUUAUCGAACUUUGUAUCAAGUGACAAACAUGAUCGCAGCCAUCUUCCCUAGAUGAACACAAAUGUGACCAUCUUGCCCAGAAUCAUGGAACCAAUUAAGUGCAUGAACCAAGGUACCACUGUACCUCCUUCCCAGAGCUACUUGAAGAUUGAGUAAUGUCAUUAACAAGCUCUUAAAGCAACCUGGCUUCCACCUCUUAUAACACUUUGUCUCAUAAUCAUUCCAUCAACUCAGUGCUUGUCUAGUGGCUGUCAUCCCAAUGGAUUGUAAACUUCAAGAAAGCUUUAUUCAUGGCUGUGUUCCCUGGGACACAGACUAUUAAUAGACAGACUAUUUUGUGCAAUGUGGUGCCUGUGGCACAUGUUAUAUACUCAAUAAAUGUUAGCUCUUACUAGUAAUACCCAGCUCAAACAAUAAAAACAAGCAGUGUAGUCAAGGAAAGACUACCUGGUGAAACCUUUGACCUCAGAACCCUAUUGAAAGAAUGUGAACUCCACCAAGAGGAGCGAGUAUUGUGUUUUCUGUUGCAAAGAAGGACUCAGAGACUCAAAGUCUAUCACACCUACAGACCACCAAGAAAUGAGCUUCUUCCCCCAGACUCUCCCAGCCUGAGCCACAUCACUGCUCUUGAAAUUCAGCCUGAUCUGUGAGUCUGAAUGAAUGUGAGCUGCGUGGGUGGCACACAGUAUGAGCUCCAGCGAGAGGCCCUAGUUCUUUCCCAAGAAGGUGUGACUUUUGAUUUCCUUCAAGUACGAUCAAGGUGGGUGAAGCAGUGGUGUUGGAAGGCUGGUGAGCUGUGGGCUGGCUGAGUCAGUGUUGGACAAGCUCCCCUCGGGAAUUUCCCACAGGGAGGGGAGCAGGUGGCAAUUGUCAGCUGGGAAAUUAACCAGGUGUGACUUUGAGAUCCAUAGGUAGAUUACAGUCUGCCCACAGAAAAGCCUGGGCCUAAUUAAUGAUAUUACUCUGAGUGGAAGUGAGGCCUUAUGCUUGGAAUGAAGUCCUUCACCUUGGCCUUUGUCUCCAAGUGAUAUCCUUUUCUACCUCUCUAGCUCAUGGAGUUGUUACUAGAAUAAAUCAAUGAAAUUAUGUAUAUAUGAAAAAAAUCCUUAGAGACUAAUAACGAAAUAUCAUCUGAAAAAAAUGGUUGGGUUUUCAGAUGGUUUUUGUUUUUGUUUAUUUGUUUUGAAGUGCUAGGGAUAAAACCCAAGAGUUCAUGCAUGCUACGCAAGUCCUCUACCACUGAAAUACAUCCCCAGCCAAUACUGUGUUACUUUUACGAACAAAAAAGUUUUAAUAAAAAUAUAUUGAGACUUAUACUCCCAUAGGAAGAGCCAUGGGAGACAUACAUGAUCAGGGAUCACUGGUCAGGCUGGAAGAGACCCCAGAUGGGUAUAAGCUAAAUGACCCAGGCCCCAAACCCACAGCUAGAAGCCAGGCUCAGCCUGAAUUGAGGUGGAUUUGAAAGUCCCAGAAUUGGCACACCCACCCUAAUCCUACUGACUGCUAGUGAUUGCAGCCUUCGUGGAUGUGGGCUCUGACUGCUUUCUUUAUCUACCAAUGAAAGCAGGGACAGAUAUUGAAUUGGACACCAUCCCAAAAUUGUAGACCCC